UGGGUUUGACAUCCUGUGAACGUCUAAGAGAUUAGACAGUGCCUUCGGGAGCACAGAGAC
Molecule: ribosomal RNA, 60 nt
Filed under: uncultured bacterium
Lineage: Bacteria
Description: partial 16S ribosomal RNA
Source: RNAcentral